This 592-nucleotide ribosomal RNA is filed under the name uncultured organism. RNAcentral describes it as "bacterial SSU rRNA". It matches the Rfam family "Bacterial small subunit ribosomal RNA", at positions 874 to 1461 of the family's 1533-position model. The record is from RNAcentral.
UGGGGAGUAUGCUGGCCAAGAGUGAGACUUGCCAAGGGAAUUGACGGGGGGCCCCGCACAAGCGGUGGAGCAGGUGGGUGAAUUCGAUGAGACGCGAGAAACCUUGACCAGGGCUUGACAUAUACAGGAAUGCGCAUGGAGAGUGCGCAGCCCUUCGGGGUCUGUAUACAGGUGCUGCAUGGCUGUCGUCAGCUCGUGCCGUGAGUGGUUGGGUUAAGUCCCGCGACGAGCGCAACCCCUGUUGUCUGUUGCCAGCAUUUCGGAUGGGGACUCAGACAAGACUGCCGGUGACAAACCGGAGGAAGGUGGGGACGACGUCAAGUCAUCAUGGCCAUUAUGUCCUGGGCUACACACGUGCUACAAUGGCCGGUACAAAGCGAAGCAAAACCGCGAGGUGGAGCAAAACGCAGAAAGCUGUUCUCAGUUCGGAUCGGAGUCUGAAACCCGACUCCGUGAAGUGGAAUCGCUAGUAUCGCGCAUCAGCAUGGCGCGGUGAAUACGUUCCCGGGCAUUGUACACACCGCCCGUCACACCACCCGAGUUGGGGUACCCGAAGUCGCUUGCCUAACCUGCAAAGGAGGCGGUGCCGAAG